This 1852-nucleotide long non-coding RNA is filed under the name Homo sapiens (human). RNAcentral's name for it is "non-protein coding lnc-ELK4-1:1". Lineage: Eukaryota; Metazoa; Chordata; Mammalia; Primates; Hominidae. The record is from RNAcentral.
CUACAAAGUUGCUGGAACUCUAGAAAAUGCAGCUGAACCAAGCCUGCCUAUCUUGUCUAUGAGCAGCUGAUUCUUUGAAUCUAAAGAAUUGAUACAGGACUUGAUACAUGUGGAAUAACAGAAAGAACCUGGACCGUGGAGUGAGACAGGCUUAGACUUGAGUUCUGGCUACACACUUGGCUGUGCCAACUCAAGGCGGCUACCUUGACAUUAUAAGGCUGAUUUUCUUCAACUGUAAAAUGUCGAUGUAGGAUUACAUGAUAACACAUGCAAAGCCUCUGGUAGAACACUCAGGGCAGCACUGCUCAUGCUUCUUAGUUGCCUUCCCCUGAUCUGGAGUGUCAAUUAAUCUUGGUUUGAGUUCCUCUUGCCCACCAGUGCACUUUGGUCCCCCAUUCAGUCAUGUAGCAAGGGGCUAUUCCUCCAGCUGUUCUUGAGUAAGCAUGGCACCUCACAUUCAUAUAGAAUGGUUACUAAUAGUCAUCCAAGUUAUUGAGAAAAAUAUUGACCACAAUGUACCACUCUCCCACUCCACUUUUUCCUAAUUAAUCUUUCCUUUGGGACUCAGCUAAGUUGUUCAUUCUGCUGGGAGUGCUCCACCCACCCAGAGCUGCCCCGAGUGCCUGCCUUGUGUUCUCUGCAUCCCCUCACCACCUUCCUUUGUGACAAGCAGCUGAGGUGUCUGUAACCCGAAUCAAUACUGGAUCAGCUCCUUGAAGAUAGAGAUUGGGUCACACAAUUAUCCUUAUAUCUUAGAGCACAGCACCUGCCUGGUACAUAGCUGGCAUUCAGAAAAUAUUAGCUACGCAAAAAUGUGUUUAAGUAUUAUAACCUUGAGUUGAUGAAACUCUGAGGCAAGAAAUAGUAUUUAUAGAGGAUUUCAUGAAAAAUGUACAAUUUAUCGAUCUCAUCAGUUCUCAGAUUUGGCUAUAUAUUAAAAUCCCCUGGAAACAUAGAAAAAAUCAGAAUCUCUGGUUGGUGGAGUCCUGUGUUGGUAUUUUGCAAAAGUUCCCAGGACUUCCUAAUGUGCAGCUAGGGUUGGAAACCACUGCUCCAGAAAAUCCACAUUUUACCACUGAAGAACUGCCUGCAUAUCCUGUACCAUUUAGGCCCUGCACUAAAGUGCCUUUAUUGAAUUAUACUUGGGCUUUGUGUCCAAUUUGACUGAACCUGGGAUAUAACUGUGCGACUCUUGUCACCGGAGAUAUGGGGAGAUGUUGUUGUCAAUGGAUCCUCUUUAUGAAGACACACCAGAGAGAUGCCUAUUGGGCAUCAGCACCAAAAAAAGGCCAUGAUCCUCCUGAGCAACCAGUUCAUGUUUGUCUUACGGAUUCCAGGAAUCAUUUAAUUAACACUAUUUUCCAGGUUUGUAGUAGCUGCUGCAAAGCUCAAGAUCAAAGCCAUGGUGCAUCUUUAUCACCUACAAAGAAUUUUGUGGUGUGUGUGUUACAUAUUGACUUGGUUCUGCAUUAUUUUUUGUCUUUUUCUCUUCACCCUCUGAUAUGGUUUAGGUCUGUGUCCCUACCCAAAUCUCAUGUCAAAUUAUAAUUCUCAAUGUUGGAGGAGGGGCCUGGUGGGAGGUGAUUGGAUCAUGGGGGCAGACAUCCCCCUUGCUGUUCUCUCAAUAAUGAGUUUUUAUGAGAUCUGGUCGUUUGAAAGUGUGUAGCACCUCCUCCUUUGCUCUCUUUUUCCUGCUGGCCAUGUGAAGAUGUGCCUGCUUCCCCUUCGCCUUCCGCCAUGAUUGUAAGUUUUCUGAGGCCUCUCCAGAAGCAGAAGCCUGUAUAGCCCACAGAACUAUGAGUCAAUUAAACCUCUUUUCUUUAUAAAUUACCCAGUCUCAAGUAUGUCUUUA